Molecule: long non-coding RNA, 580 nt
Filed under: Rattus norvegicus (Norway rat)
Lineage: Eukaryota; Metazoa; Chordata; Mammalia; Rodentia; Muridae
Description: long non-coding RNA NONRATT016592
Source: RNAcentral
CCCCAUACCUUGCCAGCUGUGUCUUCCCAGGGAAGCCCUGGGAACUCUCCUCUGCUUAUCUCUGGAUGUCCUUCAUUCUCUGUGUUACCUGUUGGCCUUGGCCCUUGGCUCUGCCUUUGGCAUUUUAACCAAGGCAUAGAAAGCCCCAUUCCAUCUCUGUCUGGUGCUCCCGAGGCCUAUUGGGAGGGGGGCACCUGGAACAGUGGGUAUGAUCAACAACUGCCCUUUGCCAUGUCAAGCCCCUCUCCCCAUUGAUGCUGACACAGCCUCGGCAGCCAGGCUCCGAGCCUCCCCACUGAGGGGGAGGAGAACCUAUCCUGUUUUAUUUGGAUCCCUAUACCUUCCAGCUGCAUGUCCCUUCUGUCCCUUUUCUCUUGCAUGCUUUACCUAUCCAGCACCCAUGCCAACGUGCCAAGUCUCCCAUGGGAACUCAGUUAAGGCUGGUGUCCCCAUCGGGUUGGGCCAAGUUAGGCCUCUGGUGCCUGCUACUGUCUCCCUACAGUGGGCAUCACUGGCCUGUGCUGAGCAACAGCUGUAAUUUUCAUGGUUUAUAAACAAUAAACUGUGACACCAGGCACAC